RNAcentral lists this ribosomal RNA (695 nucleotides) under Naganishia friedmannii. RNAcentral describes it as "eukaryotic LSU rRNA". The stretch from base 71 to 695 matches the Rfam family "Eukaryotic large subunit ribosomal RNA", at positions 1 to 621 of the family's 3401-position model. Lineage: Eukaryota; Fungi; Basidiomycota; Tremellomycetes; Filobasidiales; Filobasidiaceae. The record is from RNAcentral.
GGAUGGCCCUGUUGCAGGACUAAAGACCGCUUUCUAAUCCAUUGAUCUUCGGAUUAAUAUUCAUAACAUCUGGCCUCAAAUCAGGUAGGACUACCCGCUGAACUUAAGCAUAUCAAUAAGCGGAGGAAAAGAAACUAACAAGGAUUCCCCUAGUAACGGCGAGUGAAGCGGGAAGAGCUCAAAUUUGAAAUCUGGUAGCCUUCGGUUGCCCGAGUUGUAAUCUAGAGAAGUGUUUUCCGCGUUGGCCCAUGUACAAGUCCCUUGGAACAGGGCGUCAUAGAGGGUGAGAAUCCCGUCCUUGACAUGGACCCCCAAUGCUUUGUGAUACACUUUCAACGAGUCGAGUUGUUUGGGAAUGCAGCUCAAAAUGGGUGGUGAAUUCCAUCUAAAGCUAAAUAUUGGCGAGAGACCGAUAGCGAACAAGUACCGUGAGGGAAAGAUGAAAAGCACUUUGGAAAGAGAGUUAAACAGUACGUGAAAUUGUUGAAAGGGAAACGAUUGAAGUCAGUCAUGCUCUUUGGAUUAAGCCGUUCUGCGGUGUAUUUCAUUGAGCGGGGUCAACAUCAGUUUUGAUCGCUGGAAAAGGGCAGGAGGAAGGUAGCACUCUCGGGUGAACUUAUAGCCUCUUGUCGUAUACAGUGAUUGGGACUGAGGAACGCAGCAUGCCUUUUGGCCGGGAUUCGUCCACGUACAUG